AGAGUUUGAUCCUGGCUCAGAACGAACGUUGGCGGCGUGGAUUAGGCAUGCAAGUCGAACGCGAACAUCGGACUUCGGUCUGGUAAGUAGAGUGGCGAACGGGUGAGUAACGCGUGGGCAAUCUACCCUCAAGUGGGGAAUAACCAUUCUAACGAGUGGCUAAUUCCGCAUGAGUCCAUACCCUCGCAUGGGGGAAUGGGGAAAGGCGGGGAUCUUCGGACCCGCCGCUUGAGGAGGAGCCCGCGUCCCAUUAGCUUGUUGGAGGGGUAACGGCCCACCAAGGCGACGAUGGGUAGCCGAUCUGAGAGGAUGACCGGCCACACUGGGACUGAGAUACGGCCCAGACUCCUACGGGAGGCAGCAGUCGAGAGGCUUCGGCAAUGGGGGAAACCCUGACCGAGCGACGCCGCGUGCGGGAAGACAGCUUUCGGGUUGUAAACCGCUGUCAGGAGGGAAGAAACCUCAUGGGUUAAUACCCCAUGGGCUGACGGUACCUCCAAAGGAAGCUCCGGCUAACUCCGUGCCAGCAGCCGCGGUAAUACGGGGGGAGCGAACGUUGUUCGGAUUUACUGGGCGUAAAGGGCGUGUAGGCGGCUUUGCAAGUCAGGGGUGAAAUGUCUCGGCUCAACCGAGGACCUGCCUUUGAAACUGCAGAGCUUGAGGCCGUGAGAGGAGACUGGAAUUCCUAGUGUAGCGGUGAAAUGCAUAGAUAUUAGGAAGAACACCAGUGGCGAAAGCGAGUCUCUGGCACGGGUUCUGACGCUGAGGCGCGAAAGCCAGGGGAGCGAACGGGAUUAGAUACCCCGGUAGUCCUGGCCGUAAACGAUGGGUACUAAAUGUCGGCCGAUCGACCCGG
Molecule: ribosomal RNA, 856 nt
Filed under: uncultured bacterium
Lineage: Bacteria
Description: bacterial SSU rRNA
Rfam family: Bacterial small subunit ribosomal RNA
Source: RNAcentral